UAAAGGCUCUCGCGCCGCUGAGACGGUCAAAUCUACAUCUACGUAAAAGAGGAAGCUGUCUGGUUCUUUCCAAAAUGGCGGCCACCAUAGAGAACAGCAGUGCUGGAGCUGCGAAUAAGAAAAAGCAUUUAGGAAUUCCUGAAGCAGUGUUUGUAGAGGAUGUGGAUUCGUUUAUGAAGCAGCCCGGCAAUGACACGGCGGAUGUUGUACUGAGGAAGCUUGAUGAACAGUACCAGAAAUAUAAAUACAUGGAACUCAACCUGGUUCAGAAAAAAAAUGAGGUUUGGAGAAUUUUGAUUCUUUCUUGUGACAAAUGAAACUGGAAGUCGAGUCAAACUCCAAACCACUCAUCAUUUCUGCAGUCAGUAACUCUAACGCUAAAUGUCAUGUGGAUGUGACUCUGGAUCCUGAUGCAGCUCAUCCAUAUCUCAUCCUGUCUGCUGAUGGAAAACAAGUGACAUGUGGGGACAGACAAAAGAAUCUCCCUGAUACAUCAGAGAGGUUUCAUACAAGUUUCUGUGUUCUUGAGAAGCAGAAUUUUUCCAUGGGGAGAUUUUAUGAUGAGGUGUAGGUUUAAGGAAAAUCUAACAGAUUUAGGAGUAGCCAAAGAGUCCAUGAGAGGGAAGGGGUCAAUUACACUGAGCCCUGAGGAUGGAUUCUGGCCUAUGGCUCUGGAAUGAGAAUCAGUAUAAGGCUUCUGAUGAUCCCUCUGUUCCCCUCAAACUGAGAGAGAAGGUGGAGUUGGUGGGGGUGUUUGUGGAUUAUGAGGAGGGAUUGGUCUCCUUUUAUGGUGUGAAGUCCAGAUCUCAUAUCUGCUCUUUCACUGAGAAACUAUCCAUACUUCAGUCCUUGUAAUAAUGAUGGAGGUAAAAAUUCAGCACCACUGAUCUUCUCUCCUGUAUUUAACACUGAAUGAAUUUCACCUCAUAAAUUUAAUUAUCAAUUAAUAAAUGGUAAGAAUAACAAGAAAUGUUUUAAUUUAUUAGGUUAAAGCUACAAGUACAUAUUCCCAUUUAAAAUCCUUUAAAAUUUAUUUUUAUACCUGUAAUCCUAUAGUCUGUUUUUGAGAUUAUUAUUGUAGAACUUUGUCAUAAUAAAAUAAAAUAAAAUAUCAAGAACAAACCCAGGCCACAGCAGUUCAUAAGAAACUGUAGAGCAGCAUGAAAUGUUAGAGCUGGUGUUAUUAUUUUAGGUUCCUGAUCUUAGCUAUACUCUGCUCUUUACUCUGAGAAUAAGUGAACCCAGAAAAGUAAUUUCCUUGAGUCUUUUGCAGCUACGUUGCAUUUAUAUCAUACUGUUAUGGUACAGGUGUUUGAUUCAGCAAGUUUCAUCUGUACUUCAUUCCUCACACUAGACCACAGAGAGAACUGGAUUAGCUGGUACUGGUGGAAAGGAGGUUUUCUCCAUAUUAUUUCAGUAUAUUACACAUGGUAUGGCUUUGCACUACAACAAUGAUGAUAAUCAAUGUUUCUUUAUGAACUCCGCAAUUUUCAUCCAUAUCCUUUAAUGUUUAAGAAUACAGGAGAAACAGAUUUCACUGACACUAAUCCUCACACUUGCCAAUGGCAAUGCUGUGGGGAGAUGAAUGGGGUUAUCUGGAACCACCCAUUGUAUGGACUGGCUCUAGUAAGAAUCCACCAUUUUAAGUUUAUUUACUCAAAACAAUUUAACCACAAAAAAUAAUUAGAUUUGAGUAAAACUAACACUAUGAAAUAAUUUAGACUCAUAUGAAACAUUUUCACCAACAUAUUAAAAAUUAGUAAACAAAACUUUUAUGGCUCAAGUAAGACUGACUUGUAUGCAUCAGUUUACGCUAAUAUUACCACUUAAGUUUCAUUUACUCAUACUUCUUCUACUAAGACAAGUUAUUACAAUCUAGUUAUGACAACUUCAAUCUUUAUCAAGAUGUCUGACAAAAUGUGGGUUAGGAAUCUUUUCUUUUACUCACUUGGGCUUCGCAAAAGAGUCCAGGCCAUCUGUCUUUUAGUUUGGCAAUGGGAGGAGCUGAAUUCAGUUUCUUCAUGCCUGAGCGCAAAGCUCCGCUGCAUAUGCUGAUGGAUUAGUAUCAUGUCUCUUCCUCUGAUUCCUUCUUGAACUGCUCCACCAUCUCAAGUCUCUGGGUCUCCAGGGUGUCCUUAGUUUGUCUGUGAGGAUAACUGGGAAGAAAGUUGACUUCCCCUCUUCUUUUGGUGUUGGCCCUGGAGCCUGCACCCUCUGGAUUGGUCCUGCUGCACUUUCCUGCAUUUAUAGCCACAUCCUUUAUGCCAGCUCUGCUCAGUUUGGUCCUGUAGUUGCCCAUCUUAAAGCGCAGGCUGUUCUUCCAACCCUCAUACCCUGUUUUGGAACCAUUUUCCUUUAGACAGGGAUGUUUGCUCAUAAGAGCCUCUGCAACCUAUUUGUUUGCUACUAGGAUAUGCUUUGUGCAUAUAUUUCAGCAGCCAUAACAUCAAGUAUAUUGUGUUUUUGAUCCCUAGUUAACCGGAUCAUUUUCCCCUCAGAGUUGACCCUUCUUAGAGCAUACUCCACCUCAUGAGAAAGUUGGAACCGCGAAGAUGUCUGGCCACCGGCAAAGAUGCUCUGCUGAAUCUGUGUUAUCAGACAGCAACACUGUGUCUUCUGUGCUGGUCAAACUCAAAUCUGACUCAAUGAAUCUAAUUAUCUAAACAGUUGCCUUGGAUGGUAGGUCCUCUAUGUUAACUAAAUUGUACAGGGCAUUGUCAAACUCUGGGUCUUGAAACUGAAGGCGAAACUCGUAAGUCAGGUUCAGCUUAUUUUUCACCUCAAAUAUUAGGGCAUUUACAGUCUCAGGGUGAGAGGGCAAAAUAAGCCUCUCGGCAUUGACAUCAUCAAGGAUGACUUGUAGUUUCAAAACUGACGUACAUCAUUUGAAUUGCACAGAAGGGCCAGCUGAGUGGAGUGUAGGGGUGAGCGGUAUUUUACUGGCAGAUUAGCUAAUGUCCAAUAAACUGCACAUACUUUGUGUAUUUUCUUUGAUGUGCCUAGAGGGUUUGCUAUUUCAAAAUCAUCAGUAUAGAAAAUUAUUGAUAAUUUCUGACCCUCCUCUGAGAGAAGCACAUUUUCCUGGUAGUAGGAGCCAUCACAGUAUGACAAAUACACCCCAGAAGAAUGUGAACUGGCAUUUUGUACUUUCUCAAGUUCAUCUGUUUUUUUAGCAACUGUUGCAAAGAUGUGAGAAUGGGCACAUACAUAUAGGUAUGCUGUGAUGACUCAAUAAGAUACUCUACAGGUUUAACAAAUGGAAACCUCUCCUCAUAAUAUGAUUUUCUCCUCUUAGUGGUUGACAGUGGUCCCUCAGAUGUAACAGAUUUAUGCAAAACAUUACUCUCUGAAACAGCCUGGACAAUCUCAUUUUCAAGUAUGUCAGUAGCAGGAAAGUUGUUUUUUCAAUAUGUUGAUAACAGAUUCUUUGACUACAGGUCCUGACAGUGAAAACAACUGAUGAGUAUGUUCAAUGAUUUCCUGUGUUGCCCUCUGUGAUACAUGAAGAAUAGUUUGCAUUUUCAAGAAGAAAGCAGCCAGAUUGUACUCUAACUGCUCCGGUAAACCAUCAGUGCUACUGGCUGCUAUAGGGUUGAUGUCAGUUUUUUCUGAAAGCUCUUCUGGGUCAUGUUCAGUGUCACUAUCCUGUGAAAUAUUUGGCACGUGUUGCACAACAAUUGCUACAUCAGUCAGAUGCAUUUUGACGUUCUCUGCACUUGUGUGCAUUAAAUGUGGAGUAGACAUUAGUUCUAAACUUGCAGGCCCUGAAUGGACAUGGCACCAUUUCUUUGUGUUACGUGCCCAUAUAUGUCUCAACAAAUGGCUGCUUAAAAUCACAUAUUGGGCAAUGAAAUGCCCUAGAAAUCACAUGACUUUCUCCAGCUAAGGUUACCAAUCUUUUUUCUGAAUGUACUCUUGACAAAUGAACCUUCAGUGAAUUAAAAGUACUGAAUGCACACAUGCAAUUAUUAUACAAGCAAGGUAAAGGUGAAACUGUGGAAUACUGACCAUGACUGAGCCUGUAAUGUCUCAAUAACUGUAUUUUUGAAGAACAUGAAAAACCACACAAUUUACAUUUCCACAUCAUUUGUGCCCUCAAAACAACCAGCGUAAGAUAUAAAUAACAAUAAAAUUAUGCAAACUUGUUUCGGUUAAGGUAGUAAGGUUAAGCCUAAUAGAGGGUUUCUGUCCAUGGCUUCAGUUGGUUAAGUGUCAGUUUUUCAACCGCUGAAAAAACACUGGAUGUGACUGAAGCGCCAAAGAAAUUAAAGUCUAACCGACAUUAUGGCUAAUAUUACCUUUAGCUUAAAUACAAUGUUUAGAAGCUCUCAAAUAUAUUCAUGGCCAUUAGUCGGGUCAUUUAUUGUGUGCUUUCAAAUUAAAUUAGCAUGAGUUAUCUGGUAACCGAAUGAAAACAGUGUGUGACUUGACAGUUAAUGAGUUUGAAAGGCAUGGGCUGGUGAGCUAGCUAGCUACCUUAUUAACUAGUUCACAUUAAAGCUAAUUUCAAUUUCAUACUUUGGCAAACUAUCGAAACUCGGCAGCCAAAGUUUCUUAGACGAUGUCUGGCAGCGACUUUCAAAUAAAUUAGUUAAGAGAAACAAAAGUUAGGCCACUAUGAUUGGGCAUGCUUUUAAGCUAACACUAGUGUUUGCCCUACUCAGUAAGGAAACGUAACACGUUUCAGCCUUUGCAGAACGUGCUUAUAACAACAUAAAUGUAAACAGUGUACAAAGAAGUAGUAAAAUAACAGAACAACGUUACCUACCGUAUUGUCGCUUUUUUUCCGAGAGGGCAAACAAAUCCUGUCAGCAACAACCACACAAAGCAGCACAUAACGUCCUUGGAGCUACACCGUGUUGCCAGCUGCGUGUAGUCUGGACCGAAUCGAACCGGUUACCUGCUGUGCUUCUCAGUGCCGUGUGCACUCAGGUGGAGCGAGAGGUUUACUGCACACAUCACGUUCACUUUUUUUUUUUUUUUUUUUUUGGAGAAAACAACAAUUUGGGUCACUCAAAUACAAAUGAGAACACAUGUUUGUGUGUAAAACUAAAAAAUCCAAAUUAUUACAUUUACUUCUCAGAAACAAAAACAAAGUAAAUUAAAGCAAGUACAAGAGAAUGUAGAAACAUGAAAUGCCAUAUUUACUUAAAAAAUAGUUUAUUGAUUUUCUGGUGAUCAAUUAAUCAAAAAACUGUAACUGCUUUAAUAACAAAACUGUACACAAAUUGGUGAUCUCCUCAGUCCCCUUUAAAUUUCAUAUGAAAACAACUUCGGGUCUUUCCCGUAUUUCAGCGCGUUCUUCAAUCCGCAGACCAGGGCGUCACAGAGUGAGGAUCAGAGGGCGUGUGUGUGUGUGUGUGUGUGUGUGUGUGUGUGUGUGUAGGUCUUUGGCUUGUUCAGUUCUCAAAUGUUAUACACAUCUAUGCAAUACAGUGGAAUGCUGAAAUAAGUUUACCAUCAUAUCCUGUUAGUCAAACCUUUAUUUUAAUUAAUUUUUUUUUUUUUACUGUUAUACCCUCAUUAUAUUAUAUUAUAUAUAUACCCCCUUAAAUGAAAAUCCUAGAAUCGUCCCUGUUUGACAUAGAUCAACUUUUAUUAAAUCAUUUAUUUAUUUAUUUUGUGUUAAAACUUUGCAACUUUUCUGGCUAGAGUUAAAAAAAACAUUUACCUUUAAUAGGAAAAUAAAUCAGAAGCAUUUUUAAAACAUACAGUGUCUCCUUUAUCAACUUUAGAGUCACAUGUUCUCUUGCAAAACCUAAAACAUACCAGAUAUUCAUCAGUAGACACACACAAGUUUUUUUCCUCAAAUUGUUUUCUCUCAUGUUUUGUGACUCUAUGUGUUUUCUGAAAAUUUGCAAACACAUAUGAAACAGUAAGGGUUCAGAAGGAAAACAUUAUAUAUUUCUCAUCUUUAACAAGCUCCUACCAUAAACUGUACAAGUUUUAUUUUGUUCAAGGAAUAAUGUAAAAAAUGUUUAAUUAUUUAAUCUUCUACAAACCCCUUUAUAAAUCCUAAUAAAUGUGAUCCAUAAUUUAAUAUUUAAUAUUUUUUACUUGCGCAUUCAUAUCACACACUGUGUGUUUCUUUCAGUGGAUGUGACUCUGGAUCCUGUUACAGCAAAUCCAUAUCUCAUCCUGUCUGCUGAUGGAAAACUAGUGACACGUGGAGACAGGCAAAAGAAUCUUUCUGAUAAACCAGAGAGGUUUAAUGCAAGUUUCUGUGUUGUGGGGAAGCAGAGUUACUCCUCAGAGAGAUUUUAUUAUGAAGUGCAGGUCAGAGGGAAAAGUAGGAUUUAGGAAUGGCCACAAAGUUCAUUAACAGGAAGGAGUGGAGUCAAUUUCACUGAGCCCUGAAGAUAGAUUUUGGACUGAAUCAGUACAGGGCUUGUGCUGGUCCCUCUGUCCCCCUCACACUGAGAGAGAAGGUGGAGGUGGUGGGGGUGUUUGUGGAUUAUGAGGAGGGUCUGGUCUCCUUUUAUGAUGUGAAGUCCAGAUCUCAUAUCUACUCUUUCACUGGUCAGUCUUUUACAGAUAAACUCUAUCCAUAUUUCAGUCCUUGUAAUAAUGAAGGUGAAAAUUCAGCACCACUGAUCAUCUCUCCUGUAUUUAAGACUAAAUGAAUUUCGCCUCAUAAAUUUAAUUCUCAAUUAAAUGGUGAGAAUAGCAAGAAAAGCUUAUCAGUUUAAAUGUACAUAUACAUAUUCCCUUUUAAAAUCCUUUACAUUUCAUUUUAAUACAUGUAAUCCUACAGUCUGCUUUUUGAGAUUAUUAUUGUGAAACUUUGUCAUUACAAAUAAAAUAUCAAGUUUAAGAUAUAGUUUACACUGAACUUUACUGCAGAAUCUAAUAUGGUCACUGUUGUUGUCUUUCGACUGCUCCCUCCUUGGGGUCAACCUGGGUUCAGAUCAUCCGAUCCACAUAUUUGAUUUGGCACAGGUUUUACACUGGAUGCCCUUAUGCAGCUUUCACAUUUUAUUCUGGGCUUUGGACUGGCACUGAUUCCCUCAGUAGCUUGGUUGGUUUCCUGCCCAGGAACCAAUCCCAGGCUACAGCAGUUCAUGAGAAACAGUGGAGCAGCAUUAAAGGUCAGAGCCAGUGUUCUGGUCUUCUAGUGGUUCAGUUCCCCUGUUUCUCCAGGUGAACUGUGUGCAUGUGUGAAAUCAUUAGGUCAAUAUGUGCUAAUUUCAUUAUUUUGUAUUCAUCAGCGUAAGGUAAAGUUCAGGUUGCCUGUAAAAUAGUUUGCAAUUAAAUACAUGCACAGAAUGUUUUGCUAUCAGAGUCCAGGCACAGAAAAGUGGUUUCCUGGAGUAUUUUGCAACUACAUUACAUUUAUAUCCUACUGUUGUGGUACAGAUGUACAUUCAUAACAGUUUCAUUCAGCAAGUUUCAUCUGUACAUCAUUCUUUUACACUAGACCACAGAGAGAACUGGGUUAGCUGGUACUGGUGGAAAGGAGGUUUUCUCCAUAUAUUACAGUAUAUUACACCCAAUAUGGCUUUGCACUACAAUGAUGAAGAUGAUAAUCUAUGUCUCUUUAUGAACUCUGCUAUUUUCAUUCAUAUCCUUUGUUUAAGAAUACAGGAGAAACAGAUUUCACUGACACUAAUCAAAGGUAGCUUAGAAUUAAAAUACUACAGUGAAGCUAGUAAUGUGUCAUCUUAUCACACAUCACCCCAGUUGCAAAGCUGGGGGAGUGACUGUUAGAGCCAUAAUAGACAUUAUGUAAAUAUGAGUAUAUUGAAGUAUAUUGUUAAAAUUGUUAUUACUGCAUUCAUAUUUUUUAUGACCUUUUUAUGAUAUUUAUACUGUUAUUACAUGUGCUGUAUUAUGUCCUAAUUACUGUAACUGAUGAGGUGACUAAGACGUCAUAUCCGGGUCAGUGGUGUAGCAAGCAAGAGACGGAGCAAUACAGUUUUUGACCAUUGUUCCAUAUUCUGUUGUUAUAUAAGUUUAAAAGAUUGUUCCUGCUUUGAAGUACAAAUAAACGGGAAUCAAAAAAGGAAUAUACCGACUU
Molecule: long non-coding RNA, 8017 nt
Organism: Hemibagrus wyckioides
Lineage: Eukaryota; Metazoa; Chordata; Actinopteri; Siluriformes; Bagridae
Exons: 3
Source: RefSeq, a predicted model, not a curated record